AUCCAGUUGACGAGUUUCAAAUAAAACGAAACGCGUGUUCUAGAU
This 45-nucleotide non-coding RNA is filed under the name Schistosoma margrebowiei. Lineage: Eukaryota; Metazoa; Platyhelminthes; Trematoda; Strigeidida; Schistosomatidae. The record is from RNAcentral.